ACGACGAGGUAGAUAGGGCAGAGGUGGAAGUGCAGCAAUGCAUGGAGCUGACUGUUACUAAUCGGGUGAGGGCUUGACCAA
This 81-nucleotide ribosomal RNA is filed under the name Lachnospiraceae bacterium. Its description in RNAcentral is "partial 23S ribosomal RNA". It matches the Rfam family "Bacterial large subunit ribosomal RNA", at positions 2844 to 2925 of the family's 2925-position model. The record is from RNAcentral. Lineage: Bacteria; Bacillati; Bacillota; Clostridia; Lachnospirales; Lachnospiraceae.